GGAAUAUUGGUCAAUGGACGAAAGUCUGAACCAGCCAUGCCGCGUGAAGGAUGAAGGUCCUCUGGAUUGUAAACUUCUUUUAUAUGGGACGAAAAAAGGGUUUUCUAACUCAACUGACGGUACCAUAUGAAUAAGCACCGGCUAACUCCGUGCCAGCAGCCGCGGUAAUACGGAGGGUGCAAGCGUUAUCCGGAUUCACUGGGUUUAAAGGGUGCGUAGGUGGGUUGGUAAGUCAGUGGUGAAAUCCCCGAGCUUAACUCGGGAACUGCCAUUGAUACUAUCAGUCUUGAAUACCGUGGAGGUCAGCAGAAUAUGUCAUGUAGCGGUGAAAUGCUUAGAUAUGACAUAGAAUACCAAUUGCGAAGGCAGCUGGCUACCCGAAUAUUGACACUGAGGCACGAAAGCGUGGGGAUCAAACAGGAUUAGAUACCCUGGUAGUCCACGCCCUAAACUAUGGAUACUCGACAUACGCGAUACACUGUGUGUGUCUGAGCGAAAGCAUUAAGUGUCCCACCUGGGAAGUACGACCGCAAGGUUGAAACUCAAAGGAAUUGACGG
RNAcentral lists this ribosomal RNA (558 nucleotides) under uncultured bacterium. Its description in RNAcentral is "bacterial SSU rRNA". It matches the Rfam family "Bacterial small subunit ribosomal RNA", at positions 358 to 916 of the family's 1533-position model. The record is from RNAcentral.